ACCCUUUUAGUCUAAAGGUUAAGACUUCAUUUUUUCACGAUGAAAAUAUGAGUUCAAUUCUCAUAAAGGGUA
Molecule: transfer RNA, 72 nt
Rfam family: tRNA
About the family: Transfer RNA (tRNA) molecules are approximately 80 nucleotides in length. Their secondary structure includes four short double-helical elements and three loops (D, anti-codon, and T loops). Further hydrogen bonds mediate the characteristic L-shaped molecular structure. tRNAs have two regions of fundamental functional importance: the anti-codon, which is responsible for specific mRNA codon recognition, and the 3' end, to which the tRNAs corresponding amino acid is attached (by aminoacyl-tRNA synthetases). tRNAs cope with the degeneracy of the genetic code in two manners: having more than one tRNA (with a specific anti-codon) for a particular amino acid; and 'wobble' base-pairing, i.e. permitting non-standard base-pairing at the 3rd anti-codon position.